AAUAUUGGGACAUAUAAAAAAAGACAACUCUGUUCUGCAGAGUAGCUGUUGAUAUUAUAGUUGCGCAGGAACUUUGUUGACUCUAGAGAACCUCAGGCAAAUCGCACAUCCCUGUGGCGGCGACUUUUCAUGCGGAUGUCAUCCAUAUCAACUUUCGAUGCCAGUUUCUGCGCCUACCAUGGUGACCACGGGUAACGGGGAAUCAGGAUUCCAUUCCGUACAGGGACCCUGAGAAACAGCUACCACAUGCAAGGAAGGCAGCAGGCGCGCAAAUGACCCACCCCCGACGCGGGAAGGUAGUGA
Non-coding RNA from Pelobates cultripes (western spadefoot toad), 303 nucleotides. The record is from the annotation of a GenBank genome assembly. Lineage: Eukaryota; Metazoa; Chordata; Amphibia; Anura; Pelobatidae.